UUUAUUGAGAGUUUGAUCCUGGCUCAGGACGAACGCUGGCGGCGUGCCUAACACAUGCAAGUCGAGCGAGAGGAGUUCCUUCGGGAACAAAUCUAGCGGCGGACGGGUGAGUAACACGUGGGCAACCUGCCUUGUAGAGGGGAAUAGCCUUCCGAAAGGAAGAUUAAUACCGCAUAACAUUACAUUUUCGCAUGAAGAAGUAAUUAAAGGAGCAAUCCGCUACAAGAUGGGCCCGCGGCGCAUUAGCUAGUUGGUG
This 256-nucleotide non-coding RNA is filed under the name Clostridium sp. 7_2_43FAA. RNAcentral's name for it is "Bacterial small subunit ribosomal RNA". It matches the Rfam family "Bacterial small subunit ribosomal RNA", at positions 1 to 254 of the family's 1533-position model. Lineage: Bacteria; Bacillati; Bacillota; Clostridia; Eubacteriales; Clostridiaceae. The record is from Rfam by way of RNAcentral.